AGUCUCCCUUUCUAUAGUGCAAGCUCGACUAGACAGUUUUGACAAUAGUGAUAUUAAGGCUCUGCUUGGUGCCAUGCAAUCUGCAUUUGGGGUGCCAGCUAGCCACAGGACUCAUCUGGAAAAAAAACAACCGCCCAACCCUGAGAACUUUGGGAUUCAUGGGAAAUUACAGUUCCCCUGAUGAUGCAGGACCGGACCAGGAUUUCACUCAUCAACUGGCCUAGAUUAAGGAGAAAGAAAUCUACAUUUCUGAACCUGGUAAUGUCUGAGCAUAGUCAUGGAAGAAAGAGCUGGCCUAUAAGUGUGAGUCAUUCAACAAAUAUUUCUGAGUUUUUACAAUGUGCUAGAUACUCUUUACAUGCUGAAUGAGAUAGUAAAACUAAGUCUGCUCGGGAUAAUUGAGAAAUUAUCGCUUUCUUCCUGUAGGCACCCCCUGCUUUUCACUAACACUUUUUUCUUCUUGUUGGAAGGGUGGAUAUUAUGGCUGGAGCUGCAGCAGCCAUCAUGCCAACAUGAGGGAAAAGCUAAUGGAAUUGCGGAGACUUUGGCCUUGUGAUUCAGCCCUGGAUGAGUUGUCUCCACAUUGCUUAUCAUAUAAGAGAAAAACCAA
RNAcentral lists this small RNA (610 nucleotides) under Pan troglodytes (chimpanzee). RNAcentral describes it as "retained intron". Lineage: Eukaryota; Metazoa; Chordata; Mammalia; Primates; Hominidae. The record is from RNAcentral.